Molecule: ribosomal RNA, 500 nt
Filed under: uncultured bacterium
Lineage: Bacteria
Description: partial 16S ribosomal RNA
Rfam family: Bacterial small subunit ribosomal RNA
Source: RNAcentral
AUUGAACGCUGGCGGCAGGCCUAACACAUGCAAGUCGAGCGGAUGAAGGGAGCUUGCUCCUGGAUUCAGCGGCGGACGGGUGAGUAAUGCCUAGGAAUCUGCCUGGUAGUGGGGGACAACGUUUCGAAAGGAACGCUAAUACCGCAUACGUCCUACGGGAGAAAGCAGGGGACCUUCGGGCCUUGCGCUAUCAGAUGAGCCUAGGUCGGAUUAGCUAGUUGGUGAGGUAAUGGCUCAACAAGGCGACGAUCCGUAACUGGUCUGAGAGGAUGAUCGGUCACACUGGAACAGAGACACGGUCAAGACGCCUACGGGAGUGAGCAGUGGGGAAUAUUGGACAAUGGGCGAAAGCCUGAUCCAGCCAUGCCGCGUGGGUGAAGAAGGUCUUCAGAUUGUAGAGCACUUUAAGUUGGGAGGAAGGGUUGUAGAUUAAUACUCUGCAAUUUUGACGUUACCGACAGAAUAAGCACCGGCUAACUCUGUGCCAGCCGCCGCAGUAA